GACGAACGCUGGCGGCGUGCCUAAUACAUGCAAGUUGAGCGCUGAAGGUUGGUACUUGUACCAACUGGAUGAGCAGCGAACGGGUGAGUAACGCGUGGGGAAUCUGCCUUUGAGCGGGGGACAACAUUUGGAAACGAAUGCUAAUACCGCAUAAAAACUUUAAACACAAGUUUUAAGUUUGAAAGAUGCAAUUGCAUCACUCAAAGAUGAUCCCGCGUUGUAUUAGCUAGUUGGUGAGGUAAAGGCUCACCAAGGCGAUGAUACAUAGCCGACCUGAGAGGGUGAGCGGCCACAUUGGGACUGAGACACGGCCCAAACUCCUACGGGAGGCAGCAGUAUGGAAUCUUCGGCAAUGGACGAAAGUCUGACCGAGCAACGCCGCGUGAGUGAAGAAGGUUUUCGGAUCGUAAAACUCUGUUGGUAGAGAAGAACGUUGGUGAGAGUGGAAAGCUCAUCAAGUGACGGUAACUACCCAGAAAGGGACGGCUAACUACGUG
Molecule: ribosomal RNA, 497 nt
Filed under: uncultured bacterium
Lineage: Bacteria
Description: partial 16S ribosomal RNA
Rfam family: Bacterial small subunit ribosomal RNA
Source: RNAcentral